UCCGUGAUUGACGCUGAGGCACGAAAGUGUGGGGAUCAAACAGGAUUAGAUACCCUGGUAGUCCACACUGUAAACGAUGAUGACUCGCUGUCGGCGAUAUACAGUCGGUGGCCAAGCGAAAGCGAUAAGUCAUCCACCUGGGGAGUACGACCGCAAGGUUGAAACUCAAAGGAAUUGACGGGGGCCCGCACAAGCGGAGGAACAUGUGGUUUAAUUCGAUGAUACGCGAGGAACCUUACCCGGGCUCGAACGGCAAGUGAACGAUGUAGAGAUACAGAGGUCCUUCGGGACACUUGUCGAGGUGCUGCAUGGUUGUCGUCAGCUCGUGCCGUGAGGUGUCGGCUUAAGUGCCAUAACGAGCGCAACCCUUGCCGUCAGUUACCAGCGCGUAGUGGUGGGGACUCUGGCGGGACUGCCACCGUAAGGUGAGAGGAAGGGGGGGAUGACGUCAAAUCAGCACGGCCCUUACGUCCGGGGCGACACACGUGUUACAAUGGUGGGUACAGAGGGCAGCUACCUGGCGACAGGAUGCAAAUCUCGAAAACCCAUCUCAGUUCGGAUCGGAGUCUGCAACUCGACUCCGUGAAGUUGGAUUCGCUA
Molecule: ribosomal RNA, 600 nt
Filed under: uncultured bacterium
Lineage: Bacteria
Description: bacterial SSU rRNA
Rfam family: Bacterial small subunit ribosomal RNA
Source: RNAcentral